ACCGUCUCCCUUGACCUCGUUGCCGCCGCGACGGCCCUCUCGCGCGGCAGCCGUCCGGGCACAUGGAGGAAGGCCGGGCGAGCUCCAAGCCACGGCCCCGGCAGAUAUACAAUGUAUAGUGGCCGCUGCCGGUGCGGACUCGGGCCCCCUCCUCGCCGCGCCUCCUCGCCGGGGGGCUCAUCCAAUUGCUCCUCUCCUGCGGAGCGGUUGAGGUCCGCAGACUCAUCCACCAGCGGCUGCUGCAUCCGACUCAACAAACAGCGAUUCAGGUUUGCAUAUUAUUUAGACCUUUUCUACCACUCGGCCAUCUCCUUCUCUCCAUCAUGGCUGUGAUAGGCAUAUGGACGAAGCAGCAGGCAGCAGCGGCCAUACCUGAUCCAUGGGAAUGACGGGGCUCCUCCAUGGCAUCUUGAAUUUCUUGAUUCCCUUCUUCACGGCCUUGACUAAGAUUUAUCUGUUUUCUAAUUGUACCAGCAGUUUACCUCACGCCAUAAUUGUUGCCUGUAAAGUGCUCGACAGAAUGCUCCAGUGGUGACAUGAUGUUUGGAUCUCUGAUGGCAAAGGAGCAAUUCUUUGGUAAAGUUGAAGCUGGGUUAGCAUAUUCGCUCACUGCUGCUACUUCGCCUACAAUUUCACACAUUUGAGUUCUUCCUCUCUUGCCCCUAACUGUGAAUUGGUCUUGUAAAUUGCAUUGAGACUAUAGCCUUCUGUUUUUCAGAUUUCUACAAGUUUUGUUUGUACUGCAGCUGUGUUAGUAUUGACGCCCUCCUGUGCAUUGAUUGAUUGGAUGAGAUAUUGUUGUAUGUCUUUCAGGAUUAUUGCUUCUGAAUGAGCGUGGGAAAAAGGGAGAGCUGUGGACAGAGGUGUUGUCAUAGGAGCUCGCAUGGAAUUCUCACAGCUGUGAGCCCCCUGGUGAUUUAAAGGGUUAAAGAACUGGCGGUUAGAAUAGAAGCCUCGCAGAGAAGAAAUCAUUGUAGCCAAAUGUGCUGCCACAACACUCAUCAAAACUGAUACGUGUUGAAAAAGAAUUCUUUGCUUAGUUACUGCUGCUGGUUCAUACUCUUGGUGAAAACUAUCUUUUGUUUUUUUUCUGGUUCAUUUUGUUGUCUUUGGUCCUGCAAUGUUAGAUUGCUAGUUCUGAUUCAUGGAAAACACUAUGUGAUCCAUUAUUCUGGUGUCAUGAUGUUUGAUGCAAAUAUUAUUGAUAUGAGGUUAUAAUUUGGGCUGUAAUUGCUUAUUGUGA
This is a long non-coding RNA of Panicum virgatum (switchgrass), 1243 nucleotides long. RefSeq lists it as uncharacterized. The transcript has 2 exons. The record is from RefSeq and is a predicted model, not a curated record. NCBI's taxonomy places the organism in Eukaryota, Viridiplantae, Streptophyta, Magnoliopsida, Poales, Poaceae.